AAGAAAUUAGUUAACAAAAUAACAUUGAGCUGUCAAAUCAAAAUUAUAUAUUUAUUAUAUAUUUCUUG
Molecule: transfer RNA, 68 nt
Filed under: Bactericera cockerelli (potato/tomato psyllid)
Lineage: Eukaryota; Metazoa; Arthropoda; Insecta; Hemiptera; Triozidae
Description: tRNA-Asp
Source: RNAcentral